AUUGAACGCUGGCGGCAUGCCUUACACAUGCAAGUCGAACGGUAACAGGGUAAGCUGACGAGUGGCGGACGGGUGAGUAAUGCAUGGGAACGGGCCCCGUAGGGGGGGACAGCCCGGCGAAGGCCGACGUAAGACCGCAUACGACAAAAGGGCGAAAGGGGGGGAUGGGAAAGCAUCGGGCUAUUGGAGCGGGCGAUGUCAGAUUAGCUAGUUGGUGGGGUAAAAGCUCACCAAGGCGACGAUCAGUAGCUGGUCUGAGAGGACGAGCAGCCACACUGGAACUGAGACACGGCCCAGACUCCUACGGGAGGCAGCAGUGGGGAAUUUUGGACAAUGGGCGCAAGCCUGAUCCAGCCAUGCCGCGUGCGGGAAGAAGGCCUUCGGGUUGUAAACCGCUUUUGUCAGGGAAGAAAUCCUUUGGGUUAAUACCUCGGGGGGAUGACGGUACCUGAAGAAUAAGCACCGGCUAACUACGUG
RNAcentral lists this ribosomal RNA (477 nucleotides) under uncultured bacterium. RNAcentral's name for it is "partial 16S ribosomal RNA". It matches the Rfam family "Bacterial small subunit ribosomal RNA", at positions 29 to 507 of the family's 1533-position model. The record is from RNAcentral.